AGUUAGGAUGAUACCCUAUUAUAAAAAAUUUAAAUUAAACUACUAAAAUAGUAAAUAGAUUAUUAUUGAAACUUAAAUAAUUUGGCGGUAUUUUAGUUCAUUUAGAGGAAUCUGUUUAUUAAUUGAUAAUCCACGAGUAAAUUUACUUAAUUUAUAAUUUUGUAUAUCAUUGUUAAAAAAAUAUUUUUUAGUAAAAAUAAUAUUUAAAAAUUUAAAUAUUGAAAUUAAUUCAGAUCAAGAUGCAGAGUAUAAUUAAGAAUAUGAUGGAUUACAAUAAAUAUAUUUAAAUGAAUAAUUUUAUUGAAAAAUAAAUUUGAAGGUGGAUUUAAAUGUAAUUUUAUUUAAUUAAUAGAAAGGAUAU
Molecule: ribosomal RNA, 361 nt
Filed under: Abisara fylloides
Lineage: Eukaryota; Metazoa; Arthropoda; Insecta; Lepidoptera; Riodinidae
Description: partial 12S ribosomal RNA
Source: RNAcentral